AUGCGCACUUGUGUAACUACGUCGGUCUUGUAAUGUUGUAGGUGAGACAUGUGAUAUGUUCUGAUGUGUAUGUUGGAAGAAAUGAUGUUUUUGUUGUCAGUUUAGACGGUUUAGACUUUCUGUUUAUUGAGUCAUAGGUAGUUACUUUCUCAGCUACAUAGCCGAAUGAAAUAAGGUUUUUGCUGUUUCCAGAUUUACAAUGCCCAGAAAUCAUUCAAGAUAUCAAACAGUUAAUGAGUUUCCUAGUUCCCCAGAUAUUCCGCUGUUUGGAAAUACAGAAAGGAGUUCUGGGUCUCGAGUCUGUAACAUACUUCUUGGUUUCAUCACCAUCUUCGUUGUUAUCUUUACAAUGAUCAGUGCCUUCAUAUUCGAUAAAAAUUCUAGGAGAGGUUUGAAUAUCACACUGACAGUAGUUAUUGCGAUGCUAUGUGCAUCUCAUCUUUUCCUGAUAGUUUGGUAUCGCCAAGGUAAUAUGGAUCCAAAAUUCAAGAUACUCAUCUACUACAAUACAUUUUGCCUAACAUUGCUUUGUGUCUGUGCUAAUAUUUAUUUCCAUGGAGCAUAAGUUUCAGUGUGAGGGACAUUACGAAAGCUUACACGCAUGCACCAGCUGGUGACCUUCGACGAGCUCAGUAUUAAUGUCAACACCACAGGAACCAGGAACAAGUUCAAUGCUUGUUGCAGCUAGCAGAGUUGCAGUCUCUUAACUGUCCAGCAUUGUUUUAGAAUGGACGUCAGCCUCCUACAUGGAAAAGGAUUCAGUUGUGGGACAACAAACUGAGGACUACAGGUAGUCUGUUGCGUGUAAAAUCUCCUCGAAAGAAACGGACCUCUGAAGAAAAUAUUUAUCUCAUUGGAAAGGCAUUCCAGCAAAGUCUGCCCAAAUCAAUUCAUUGUGCUAGCUUGCAAUUACAAAUUCCACGUUCAACAGUGCACGGUAUGCUAAACAGAAGGCUCUGCCUAAGAAUCAUUCAAAUGAAUCAUACACUAAAACCCAGUGAACAAGUUUCAUGCACAAACUUCGCUGUGGACACGAUAGAAAGAAUUGACACAUCACCAAAUUUCCUCCACCAAGUGUGCUUCUUGUACGAGGUGAUGUUGCAUGUCAGUGGAGUUGUAAACAGGUACAGCUGGAGGAUUUGGGGCAGUCAGAAUCCACAUGUCACAUGUGAGUUGGAGAGAGGCAGCCCUGAAGUGAAUGUGUUGGCUGGCUUAAUACACGAGAAAUUGAUUGGACUGUGUUUCUUUUCAGAAAAGACUGUGACCAGACUUUCAUAUUUUGAUAUGCUGGAGCUGUAUGCGCUGCCCAAAUUACAAUCUCAAACUAUCCUCCAAUAAGAUGGGGUGCUGCCACAUUUCUCCCACAGUGUUAGGAAUCACUUGGACAGAGAGAUGGCUAGGAGAUGGAUCGGCAGAGAUGGACAUUGGACCAACAACAGCAAUAACAGCAAUCUACAUAUAAGGUAUUCUAUGUAACCAAGAGUAGAAAAGUAAGACUGUUAUGUUUCUGUGCUUCCACAGAAAUACUUUAAUUUAUUUUAACUAAUACUAAUGACCUUUAACAAACACACCUUAUUUUAAUUGCAUUCACGUUUUAGUCUCGAUUCUGAAUGCUUGCUGAAAUCCCCUUAUGAAGACUUAUGUUCAAAUACACGUGUAAAAUAUUUCUUUGUAGUGUUGUCUAGGCCUUUCGUGAUGGCCUGUAGAUGCCAAAACAUGUAAAGGGAGA
This is an RNA transcript of Cryptotermes secundus, 1729 nucleotides long. RefSeq lists it as uncharacterized. Lineage: Eukaryota; Metazoa; Arthropoda; Insecta; Blattodea; Kalotermitidae. The transcript has 6 exons. The record is from RefSeq and is a predicted model, not a curated record.